Molecule: long non-coding RNA, 954 nt
Organism: Trichoplusia ni (cabbage looper)
Lineage: Eukaryota; Metazoa; Arthropoda; Insecta; Lepidoptera; Noctuidae
Exons: 4
Source: RefSeq, a predicted model, not a curated record
UGGUCCUUGAACCUAACUAGAUUAUCGAGAGGUACAGCAGAUGAUUGAACUAGUGUUUUAUAUAAUAUAAAAUAAACUAUACAAUGGUCGGGCACAAUGGCCACAAAAGAUUGUAAUGGCAGUGAAAACAUGUCCUAACAUCAGUUAUGCUCUCUACCAUUAUAGAAGCACUAUCUCCUUGAACCAACGCUCCGCGGAAGUUUUUUUUAGUUGUAAUUCGCUACAGUGCUCCGAUUGUCAGUGGUUUUAAUUAAUGGCAUUUGCAUUGUAGUUCGAGUGCAUCAGAUACGGAUUUACCAUCACGACUGCUAAUUGAAAUUUAAUACUUUUUCUGAACCUUUUUCGUAUCGGGUUAAAUCCUCGGAUUAUUUCCUUUAAAUUGUUGAUAUCUUUAUCUCCAUAAAUACAUCAGAAUGGUUGUAGCUGGAUUCCUCCUGAUCACUGGGAUGCUGGUCUUCGGAGCCUACUGGGCGACCAUGUUCUUUAUGCAACCGCAACAGCAGAAAACCACGAUUCCUGCUACUCUCACAACGUUAAUGGAAACAACAGCAUCCCCGGUAACGGAAACCAAACCGGCAAUAUAUGAAAUGAUACUCAAUUAUAAAUAACACUUAUAUUUAAUAUCUGUACAAUCACCUGUGUAUUUACAUUCUGUUUUUGUAUUUCUAAUGUGGGUCUUUUUACGUAGCUGUUAGGUUAGUCACCAUGUAUUUCAUUAUUUCAAACAUGCUGGUAUAUAAACUGCAGUUAGGUAUGAUUUUGCACAUUAGCACAAAACUGAAAGAAAAAACGCUUUUUUGUGACAUUUUUUUCUCGAAACACUCAUAGAGAAAAAUAGCAAUUACGUCUUUAUUUUAGCUUUUCCUUUUUGACCGACUUCAAAGGAGGAGUUUAUUAAUCCGAUUGAAGGUUUUGAAAUAUUUAACUUUUGUAUAAUUUAUUUUUGAUAACCUU